AAGACAGUAGUAGGCAGCUCUCCUCUGGCAGGUGCAUUCUAGGUGAUUUUGUAAUUGUAUAUGCAUCCAAGGUAUAUACAGUCCGGCCAUGGUGCUACAUUGCAAUCAUCCAUAUGUGAUUGCAUUGUGUAUAUAUAUACAUGGUGGCCUUUGAUAGACCAUCAUAUAUCGGUUGGUUAUGUGCAUGUAUGUAUAUACCAGCUGCUACUAGCUUUGAUCGAUCGCCAUGUAGCGAUUGAAUUCACCAAAACGGCCUGCCAAAGGAGAGUUGCCCUGCGACUGUC
Molecule: microRNA precursor, 284 nt
Filed under: Oryza sativa Indica Group (long-grained rice)
Lineage: Eukaryota; Viridiplantae; Streptophyta; Magnoliopsida; Poales; Poaceae
Description: osa-MIR399d
Source: RNAcentral